This 1747-nucleotide unclassified non-coding RNA is filed under the name Caenorhabditis elegans. RNAcentral's name for it is "Non-coding transcript of protein-coding gene cest-5.1". The record is from RNAcentral. Lineage: Eukaryota; Metazoa; Nematoda; Chromadorea; Rhabditida; Rhabditidae.
AUGAAUACUUUGCGCUUGUUACUGUUAAUUUUUAUAAUUAAUGCAGCAGAUUCUCUGAUUAUACACACUUCAUUUGGUCAUUUGGAAGGUGCAGAGAUAGGAGAUUAUCAUUUGUUCAAAAAAAUUCCAUUCGCAAAACCUCCAGUGGGAAAUUUAAGAUUUCAAAAACCAGAGGCAGCCGGGAAAUGGGAUGGAAUAAGAAGUGCUAUUGAAUAUGGCCCAGCAUGUAUGUCGAAUUCUUCUAAAACAAAAAGUCCUCAAAAAUGGGUUGAUGAAGAUUGUCUACAUGUUAAUAUUUUCACUUCAAAAAAGUGUUUGAAGUCAAGAAAUUGUGCAAUAGCAGUGUACAUUCACGGCGGAGGACUGACUUAUGACAGUGCUGUUAUGUUUAAUGACACAGUUUUAUUGGAUACAUUUGUGAAACGUGAUGUGAUUCUUGUAAUUCCUGGUUUUCGAUUGGGCAUCUUCUCGCAUUUUACAGUACAUAAUCAAAAUGUUGCUCCAAAUAAUUUGGCACUUUAUGAUAUCACACUUGCCUUGGAGUUUGUUAAAUCAGAAAUUCACAGCUUUGGUGGAAAUUCUCAAAAAAUAACACUUUUCGGACAUUCUUAUGGUGGAGGUCUUGCGUCUAUGAUGACAUUCAGCUCAGAGAUUAAUCGAGAUUUGAGUCUAUUUCAACAAGCAAUUGUCAUGUCUGGAGGUUUUUACUUUGAAGAAUUGAAGGAUCAUAUUGAAGGAACUAAGAGAUUUGUUGAAUAUGCCAAUUGUUCAGUUCCAUUGAAAUUAGAAAGAAAAAUGGAAAGAAGUCAACAGGAAAUGUACAUGAUGAAGUGUUUGCAGAAAUUGAGUGGAAUGGAAUUAUUAAGAAUCCAAAGAUUACUUGAAGAUAAAGGUUAUCCUGAUUUUGGUGGUGUUAUUCUUCGAGAACCUCUAUUUCCUGAUGUGAAGAAAUUCGAACUAUUGAAAUCUCCUAAAAACAUUCCAAUGCUCACAGGUUGCACAAACCUUGAAUUUGAUCAUGAAUCUAUCAAAGUUCCAUUCGGAAAAUAUUUAGAGUUUGAGAAUCCAGACGAAUGUGAUGAAAAAUAUCGAAAUGAUGUUGAAAGUGGUGUUGAAAGUCGAUCGAGGAAAUCAUACUGAUAAAACACAAGGGAUAAUUCUUCCCCUAAAACUUCAAAUAAAUAAUCUACUUGAAAAUAAUGUCACGGCAUACCUCUACGAAUACACUUAUCCGAAACAUGGUAGACAUACCGAUGAUCUCUCUUAUAUAAUGGGAGUUCAUGCAUUUGAAAAAGACGAAAAUGAGGUGCAUUUGGAGCAAGUUUAUAAGGAUAUGGUUAUUAAUUUUAUAAAGCUUGGAGAACCUGGAAUGGGUUUCGAAAAGUCUGAACAGAAUGAGUCCACUUAUUUUGAUAUUUAUUGGAACGAGACGACAGGAGAAAGGCCACGAAUGAGAAAAUAUUUCGAAAAGGAGGUCACUGACUAUUGGCUCAAGGAAAUGAUUGAAUUUGAUCAGAAAGUGACUGAAACAAAGAAGAAAUUAAAACAAAUAUCUCUUAAAACUGUGCCAUUCAUAGAAAAGCCACUGGAGCAAAAUGAUGAAGCAGGAACAUUAAUUGGUGUUUCAUUAAUAGCCAUUUCCAUAUUCCUUAUUGGUUGUAUUUUUGGAAGAUAUUGUUGUUUGAGACGACGAAAUUUGUAUAUUCGAUUGGAUGGAAAUAAUUAUGAAAACGCAGGAAACUUUUAG